This is a small nuclear RNA of Suncus etruscus (white-toothed pygmy shrew), 105 nucleotides long. The record is from RefSeq and is a predicted model, not a curated record. NCBI's taxonomy places the organism in Eukaryota, Metazoa, Chordata, Mammalia, Eulipotyphla, Soricidae.
GUGCUUGCUUCGGCAGCACAUAUACUAAAACUGGAAUGAUACAGAGAAUAUUAGCAAGGCCCCUACACAAGAAAAUUUUGAGAGAAAAAGGAAAAAGAAAAAUUU